Molecule: ribosomal RNA, 2928 nt
Filed under: Cupriavidus nantongensis
Lineage: Bacteria; Pseudomonadati; Pseudomonadota; Betaproteobacteria; Burkholderiales; Burkholderiaceae
Description: bacterial LSU rRNA
Rfam family: Bacterial large subunit ribosomal RNA
Source: RNAcentral
GUUAUAGGGUCAAGCGAACAAGUGCAUGUGGUGGAUGCCUUGGCGAUCACAGGCGAUGAAGGACGCGGUAGCCUGCGAAAAGCUUCGGGGAGCUGGCAAACGAGCUUUGAUCCGGAGAUGUCCGAAUGGGGAAACCCGGCCCGUAUGGGUCAUCCCACACUGAAUCCAUAGGUGUGGGAAGCGAACGCGGCGAACUGAAACAUCUAAGUAGCUGCAGGAACAGAAAUCAACCGAGAUUCCCAAAGUAGUGGCGAACGAAAUGGGAACAGCCUUGUACUCUUUAGCAGUGGUGUUAGCAGAACGGGAUGGAAAGCCCGGCCAUAGCAGGUGAUAGCCCUGUAUGCGAAAACACGAUUGUGGAACUAGGUGUACGACAAGUAGGGCGGGACACGUGAAAUCCUGUCUGAAGAUGGGGGGACCAUCCUCCAAGGCUAAAUACUCGUGAUCGACCGAUAGUGAACCAGUACCGUGAGGGAAAGGCGAAAAGAACCCCGGGAGGGGAGUGAAAUAGAUCCUGAAACCGCAUGCAUACAAACAGUCGGAGCCCUUUCGGGGGUGACGGCGUACCUUUUGUAUAAUGGGUCAGCGACUUACAUUCAGUGGCAAGCUUAACCGGUUAGGGAAGGCGUAGCGAAAGCGAGUCCGAACAGGGCGUUGAGUCGCUGGGUGUAGACCCGAAACCAGAUGAUCUAUCCAUGGCCAGGUUGAAGGUGCGGUAACACGUACUGGAGGACCGAACCCACUAACGUUGAAAAGUUAGGGGAUGAGCUGUGGAUAGGGGUGAAAGGCUAAACAAAUCUGGAAAUAGCUGGUUCUCUCCGAAAACUAUUUAGGUAGUGCCUCGUGUCUCACCUUCGGGGGUAGAGCACUGUCAUGGUUGGGGGGUCUAUUGCUGAUUACCCCGCCAUAGCAAACUCCGAAUACCGAAGAGUGCAAUCACGGGAGACAGACAUCGGGUGCUAACGUCCGGUGUCAAGAGGGAAACAACCCAGACCGCCAGCUAAGGUCCCAAAGAUUGGCUAAGUGGGAAACGAAGUGGGAAGGCUAAAACAGUCAGGAGGUUGGCUUAGAAGCAGCCCCAGUCACCGAAGCUGCGGACGCGUGCGUUCCUUUAAGUGCACCAAGCUUGUCGAUGCGCAGCAUCGACAAAGCCACCAACAAUGAUCGCUGGUGGUCGUGCUAGUGGAUUUAAAGGAGCGCACGCGUGGUAGGAGAGCGUUCUGUAAGCCUGUGAAGGUGUCUUGUAAAGGAUGCUGGAGGUAUCAGAAGUGCGAAUGCUGACAUGAGUAGCGAUAAAGGGGGUGAAAGGCCCCCUCGCCGUAAGCCCAAGGUUUCCUACGCAACGUUCAUCGGCGUAGGGUGAGUCGGCCCCUAAGGCGAGGCAGAGAUGCGUAGCUGAUGGGAAGCAGGUUAAUAUUCCUGCACCGUCGUAUGAUGCGAUGGGGGGACGGAUCGCGGAAGGUUCUCCGGGUGUUGGAAGUCCCGGUCCCUGUAGUGGAGAAGGCGCUUAGGCAAAUCCGGGCGCGUAAUUCAAGGCUACGGGGCGAGCGGCCUAGUGCUGCGAAGCAAUUGGAAGUGGUUCCAAGAAAAGCCUCUAAGCUUCAGUCAUACGAGACCGUACCGCAAACCGACACAGGUGGGCGAGAUGAGUAUUCUAAGGCGCUUGAGAGAACUCGGGAGAAGGAACUCGGCAAAUUGGUACCGUAACUUCGGGAUAAGGUACGCCCUGGUAGCUUGACUGGCCUGCGCCAGAAGGGUGAAGGGGUUGCAAUAAAAUGGUGGCUGCGACUGUUUAAUAAAAACACAGCACUCUGCAAACACGAAAGUGGACGUAUAGGGUGUGACGCCUGCCCGGUGCCGGAAGAUUAAAUGAUGGGGUGCAAGCUCUUGAUUGAAGUCCCGGUAAACGGCGGCCGUAACUAUAACGGUCCUAAGGUAGCGAAAUUCCUUGUCGGGUAAGUUCCGACCUGCACGAAUGGCGUAACGAUGGCCACACUGUCUCCUCCCGAGACUCAGCGAAGUUGAAGUGUUUGUGAUGAUGCAAUCUCCCCGCGGCUAGACGGAAAGACCCCAUGAACCUUUACUGUAGCUUUGCAUUGGACUUUGAACCGAUCUGUGUAGGAUAGGUGGGAGGCUUUGAAGCGUGGACGCCAGUUCACGUGGAGCCGUCCUUGAAAUACCACCCUGGUUUGUUUGAGGUUCUAACCUUGGCCCGUGAAUCCGGGUCGGGGACAGUGCAUGGUAGGCAGUUUGACUGGGGCGGUCUCCUCCCAAAGUGUAACGGAGGAGUUCGAAGGUACGCUUGGUACGGUCGGACAUCGUACCUAAAGUGCAAUGGCAAAAGCGUGCUUAACUGCGAGACCGACAAGUCGAGCAGGUGCGAAAGCAGGACAUAGUGAUCCGGUGGUUCUGAAUGGAAGGGCCAUCGCUCAACGGAUAAAAGGUACUCUGGGGAUAACAGGCUGAUACCGCCCAAGAGUUCAUAUCGACGGCGGUGUUUGGCACCUCGAUGUCGGCUCAUCUCAUCCUGGGGCUGUAGCCGGUCCCAAGGGUAUGGCUGUUCGCCAUUUAAAGAGGUACGUGAGCUGGGUUUAAAACGUCGUGAGACAGUUUGGUCCCUAUCUGCCGUGGGCGUUGGAAUCUUGACGGGGGCUGCUCCUAGUACGAGAGGACCGGAGUGGACGUACCGCUGGUGUACCUGUUGUCUCGCCAGAGGCAUCGCAGGGUAGCUAUGUACGGAAGAGAUAACCGCUGAAAGCAUCUAAGCGGGAAACUCGCCUGAAGAUGAGGAUUCCCUGGAGGCUUGACCUCCUUGAAGGGUCGUUCGAGACCAGGACGUUGAUAGGCUGGGUGUGGAAGCGCAGUAAUGCGUUAAGCUAACCAGUACUAAUUGCCCGUAAGGCUUGAUCCUAUAACCAGUGUGUUUCA